UACGUAGGGGGCAAGCGUUGUCCGGAAUCAUCGGGCGUAAAGCGCGUGUAGGCGGCCCGGUAAGUCCGCUGUGAAAGUCGGGGGCUCAACCCUCGAAUGCCGGUGGAUACUGUCGGGCUAGAGUGCGGAAGAGGCGAGUGGAAUUCCUGGUGUAGCGGUGAAAUGCGCAGAUAUCAGGAGGAACACCAAUUGCGAAGGCAGCUCGCUGGGACGUUACUGACGCUGAGACGCGAAAGCGUGGGGAGCAAACAGG
RNAcentral lists this ribosomal RNA (253 nucleotides) under uncultured bacterium. RNAcentral describes it as "partial 16S ribosomal RNA". It matches the Rfam family "Bacterial small subunit ribosomal RNA", at positions 524 to 776 of the family's 1533-position model. The record is from RNAcentral.